Molecule: ribosomal RNA, 465 nt
Filed under: uncultured bacterium
Lineage: Bacteria
Description: partial 16S ribosomal RNA
Rfam family: Bacterial small subunit ribosomal RNA
Source: RNAcentral
CUACGGGGGGCAGCAGUGAGGAAUUUUGCGCAAUGGGCGAAAGCCUGACGCAGCAACGCCGCGUGAGUGAUGAAGGCCUUCGGGUCGUAAAGCUCUGUCAAGUGGGAAGAACCUAUGUAAUGUUAAUAUCAUUAUAUACUGACGGUACCACUGAAGGAAGCACCGGCUAACUCCGUGCCAGCAGCCGCGGUAAUACGGGGGGUGCAAGCGUUAUUCGGAAUCAUUGGGCGUAAAGGGCACGUAGGCGGCCUGGUAAGUCAGAUGUGAAAGCCCGAGGCUUAACCCCGGAAGUGCAUUUGAUACUGUCAGGUGUGAGUAUGGGAGAGGGAAGUGGAAUUCCUGGUGUAGAGGUGAAAUUCGUAGAUAUCAGGAGGAACACCGGUGGCGAAGGCGACUUCCUGGACCAAUACUGACGCUGAGGUGCGAAGGCGUGGGUAGCAAACAGGAUUAGAUACCCCAGUAGUC